Molecule: long non-coding RNA, 638 nt
Organism: Lycium ferocissimum
Lineage: Eukaryota; Viridiplantae; Streptophyta; Magnoliopsida; Solanales; Solanaceae
Exons: 2
Source: RefSeq, a predicted model, not a curated record
AGAGGGAUUCUACUCUUAUCUCCUUGUCCCAUCCACCCCUAGCCCUCAUGGUUGUUCCGGUCCCAAACCCCCUUUUUUCCGAGAAAACAAAAAAGAGAGAGAAAAUCACCACGACUCAUCGCUGAACCCUGAACUUACUGGAAAUAUUGCAUAGCAACAGCUAUCUGAUCUGCUACGUUUUAGAGAUGAUUCAGCUCCCAAACACAACCAGGACAUAAUGAAGAUAUCUGUUGAUGCAUUAGGCCUCAACUAACUAAAAGAGCUCUAUUCAGGCUUGAAAAUGCAGUAAAUAACCAAAUGCAGUAAAUAACCAUACCACUAUGCACAUGAUAUACUGACUUGGCAAUGCAGCUGAAUAUCGUAACCAUUAUGCACCUCUAAUUGUGUCCACUCUGUCGAUAACAUCCAAAGCUUUCAUCCGGUCAAUGUCAAAGUCAAACACUGGAACAGAAGACGGUCUCCUUAUAGGGAAAGGGUUCUUUCUGGUUUCAUUUAUAGGUGAAUGGCUACUGCUCUUACUCAGCCUGUGGUACUUGCUCAACCCUGUGUCUGCAAAUUCUUGAGACUUGCUAAUCCCUGGAGUUAGUUUUCUCUUGCUUACAUCACGAAGCAUUUCUCGGUCUUCAACCGUUAACGGG